This is a long non-coding RNA of Photinus pyralis (common eastern firefly), 821 nucleotides long. RefSeq lists it as uncharacterized. NCBI's taxonomy places the organism in Eukaryota, Metazoa, Arthropoda, Insecta, Coleoptera, Lampyridae. The transcript is spliced from 3 exons. The record is from RefSeq and is a predicted model, not a curated record.
UAAGGCGAUGUAAUCCCUGCGCCAGCUAGCUCUGGGCGGGGUCGUAAAAUAAUAUAUUUUAAGGGCGCCAAAUUCUACAGCCAGUGAAGUGACGUCCUUAGAAUUAUCAGGACGCGCUGGCCUAACUACCUUUAUAAUAAACUGCUGUUUAACGGGGUAUAUAAGUAAUUUUAUUGUAGUGCAUAAGCGAGCGAGGUAAGAGGUGAUAAUGAUAAGAUGUGACAACCCAAAUGACGAAUUAAUGACUUGAUUUAUGACAAUGACUAAGUAAUUACUAAUUAACAAUUAAAUCAAUCAACUUCAACUUGGCAGCGAACACAAGUGGGUGGACAAAGCUUUACCUAAGGCGGGUGUAACGUAAGCUUACUUUACAGCGUCUUAUUAUAACUACUAACUCGUAGUUCAAGGGGGUAAUAGUCGGUCUAACAAAUAAAAUGAUGGAAGUGACCGGUAACUUGUUGACGCUUUUACAGUGAUGGAUAGUGAUGUGCCAUGCCUCUCUUACUCUUACCCCUGCUCAGAGAUUCUAUUUACACGUAUUCCGAGCUGGAACCAGCGAUGGUAUCGAUGAAUACAGAAUAGAUAAAUGUUGACAGGGAAGAUGUUCGGGCCUUAACGAUAAACAAAACGGGUAUGCGAAUCUGGUUACUAAAUUUGUCCUAAAACUGGUAGCAUAAAACUUGAAUCAAAAGCUAAAAUAGAAUCUGUAAGAUUACUGUGAUUAUGAGAUUAAUACUAACCCAGAAGGAUCUGGCUUUUGCUCUUAAGUAAACUAAAUAAUUGUACUAAUAUUAUGAUGUAUAUAGUUACAACGGCUGUAU